Molecule: ribosomal RNA, 392 nt
Filed under: uncultured Methanosaeta sp.
Lineage: Archaea; Methanobacteriati; Methanobacteriota; Methanomicrobia; Methanotrichales; Methanotrichaceae
Description: bacterial SSU rRNA
Rfam family: Archaeal small subunit ribosomal RNA
Source: RNAcentral
UAUGAAGGUCAGGCUGAAGACUUACCCGAUUAGCUGAGAGGUGGUGCAUGGCCGUCGUCAGUCCGUACUGUGAAGCAUCCUGUUAAGUCAGGCAACGAGCGAGACCCACGUCCACAGUUGCCAGCAUACCCUCCGGGGUGAUGGGUACACUGUGGAGACCGCCGCUGCUAAAGCGGAGGAAGGAGUGGGCAACGGUAGGUCAGUAUGCCCCGAAUCUCCCGGGCUACACGCGGGCUACAAUGGUUGGUACAAUGGGCAUCUACCCCGAAAGGGGAAGGAAAUCUCUUAAAGCCAAUCGUAGUUCGGAUUGAGGGCUGCAACUCGCCCUCAUGAAGCUGGAAUCCGUAGUAAUCGCGUUUCAACAGAACGCGGUGAAUACGUCCCUGCUCCUU